Drosophila nasuta is the source of this 1130-nucleotide long non-coding RNA. RefSeq lists it as uncharacterized. The record is from RefSeq and is a predicted model, not a curated record. The transcript has 3 exons. Lineage: Eukaryota; Metazoa; Arthropoda; Insecta; Diptera; Drosophilidae.
UAGAGUUUGUAAUUUAUUCAAUAUAUAAUUUUAUUUGUCAGAAAACGGCGGGAACAUUCGAGUCUUAGUUGCUUUGGUCGACAAUCUGACAAAUUUUGUACUCUAUGGAAAAUUGUAAUUAUUGUAUUUUUUUCUGUGUAGAGAAAAGUGGAGGUCUUUAACAGGACACGGAACUGAAGCGGAAAAGUUCUAAGCUGCUGCUGUACGGAUAUUUUGUACUUCAGUGGAAACAACUAUUCAAGCAGCCGAAUAAGAAGAAGAUGAUGUAAAUUACAAACACGUUCUAACAAACUGUGGCGUAUUCGGAGAAAGUAAAUUCAUAGCUUCCUCUGGAGGACACUAAAAAAAUAGAAAACUGGUUUUAAAACUCUAAAAUUCUCCUGUCCCAGGACUCCAGUACGUUCAGUUCAUGGAUAUAAACAUAAAAAGCCGCUUUAUUGUCAAUUUUAAUACAUUUUGCAUUUUAUGCGAUUUGCAGGGCAACUGAAUAAUCCUUUUCUUUGUCAUAAAAAAGUUCACAGUCCUAGGGAUGGCGAAACAAAAAAUAAUAAAACAAGUAAGAAAGCUACAGUCGAGUGUGGCCCUUUAAGAUACCCGGUACCCGUUUUCAAUAAAAGCGAAACAUUGCGGUAAUUUUACUACAAUAAACCAAAUGAAUAUACCGAAGGCUAUAUAUCAGAUAUGGAUAUAACUACAUAUAUAUUGACGACCAAGAUAUGUCCCACAAAGUGAAAGCUAAAACCGCCAUAAGAAUCCGAACCAUAUGAGACUCUUCUUGUUCAGCUAAUCCAUUUAUUAUUACUAUAACUUAACUUUUGAGCCAUUUAAAUCACUGCUUGAGCUUGUUUGUGACAUUUGAUUCGAGAUAACUGCUAACUGGGCAAUGGGGAAACAAGCAGUGUAAACGAAAGGAACUUUCCGGGCAUCAAUUACAGCGGCAGACGGCAGUUUCGCCUAAUAAUGCAGAAAAUGCCAAACAAAGUGUUUAACGUUGUCAAUUUAACAACCUCGAGCGCUUUUUUAUGGUGGGUGACUAUCCCCACCCCUCCUGUUACACAGACCAAACGGGACUACAAUGACAACAGCAAGAACAAGGGUAACAAAGCUCAGCGCCAACAAAAGUUACAGUG